AGCUAUAUGCAAAAUAAGCUAUGGGUAACAUAAGCUAUAGGCAUCAAAAUCUAUAGGCAACGUAAGCUACGGUCAGCAUAAGCUUUAGGCUUGAUUUGGGUUUCGCUUCAAAACAAAUAUUUUCAAUCAAUAGAAAAAAGUAACUGAUUGGACGCGUUAUCUUCCCGUUGAUGAAAUAUUAUAAUACAUUUGAACUUCAUUGAAGGAAAGAACAGCGCUAAAAUAUGCACUUGCACAACACUAUACAUGUCUUUGAAAAAAACUCAUUGAUGUCUUCCCGGAAAUGAUAAUAAACUGUUUUUAAAACAAAAAUGUUAAACUGUGUAUUGAAGUGAGACAAAAGCAGUAACUCUUGUGCCUCACUGAAAGGGUUAAUUAGAGAUGCGCAUUUACAAAACAAUUUGCUAGUUUGAACUGUGGUAAUGCCGAUCUCUUAAUGGUAGCAGUUCUACAAUUCUUGAAGUAUGUUGUAAGUG
This is a non-coding RNA of Biomphalaria pfeifferi, 476 nucleotides long. Lineage: Eukaryota; Metazoa; Mollusca; Gastropoda; Planorbidae. The record is from the annotation of a GenBank genome assembly.